Molecule: ribosomal RNA, 697 nt
Filed under: Clostridioides difficile
Lineage: Bacteria; Bacillati; Bacillota; Clostridia; Peptostreptococcales; Peptostreptococcaceae
Description: partial 23S ribosomal RNA
Rfam family: Bacterial large subunit ribosomal RNA
Source: RNAcentral
UUUAACUGAGCGUUCAGUUACUUGACGUAGACCCGAAACCGGGCGACCUACCCAUGAGCAGGAUGAAGCGAAAGUAAAAUUUCGUGGAGGUCCGAACCCACGAGCGUUGAAAAGCUCGGGGAUGACUUGUGGGUAGCGGUGAAAUUCCAAUCGAGCCCGGAGAUAGCUGGUUCUCCCCGAAAUAGCUUUAGGGCUAGCCUCAAGGUGAGAGAUACGGAGGUAGAGCACUGAAUGUCCUAGGGGGUAUUGCACCUACCGAAGACUAUCAAACUCCGAAUGCCGUCAUCUUAUACUUGGGAGUCAGACUGUGGGUGAUAAGAUUCAUAGUCGAAAGGGCAACAGCCCAGAUCGUCAGCUAAGGUCCCUAAAUGUAAGUUAAGUGGUAAAGGAUGUGGGAUUGCACAGACAACCAGGAUGUUGGCUUAGAAGCAGCCACUCAUUCAAAGAGUGCGUAAUAGCUCACUGGUCGAGUGAUCCUGCGCCGAAGAUUUCCGGGGCUAAAACUUACUACCGAAGCUACGGCAUCAGUAAUGAUGGGUAGGGGAGCUUCCCAUACGGGUUGAAGCAUGACCGUAAGGACAUGUGGACAGUAUGGGAGUGAGAAUGUUGGCAUGAGUAGCGAGAUGUGGGUGAGAAUCCCACAGGCCGUAAACCCAAGGUUUCCAGGGGAAGGUUCGUCCGCCCUGGGUUAGUCGGG